This is a long non-coding RNA of Gossypium raimondii (Peruvian cotton), 460 nucleotides long. RefSeq lists it as uncharacterized. The transcript has 2 exons. Lineage: Eukaryota; Viridiplantae; Streptophyta; Magnoliopsida; Malvales; Malvaceae. The record is from RefSeq and is a predicted model, not a curated record.
UAUCAAAUGUCAUACACGGCCUGCCUUUGUAGUUGUGGGAUUGGAACACUCCAUCUCAUUCCUUGCAGUUGUGCAUAUUGUGGAUUGUUUUCUACCUAUCUUCCUGAUGGAAUCUAUGGUGCGUGAGCAAUGUGGCUGUUGCGCUUGUUUGCCAAUCAUAAACUUAUCUCUUGUUGAGAUUGGGCUGUUGCGCUUGUUUGUCGAUCAGCAUUAAAUGCUAUUCUCUGCUUUAUUUCCACACUGUAGAAUGGUUUCUGCUAACAACUCACUCUCUGAUCUGAGUGCAUUGCCUGUUGCAAUAGAGUUUGGCCUAGCAGUGUCCAAGGUGACUUAUGAAGAGACAAUGGCUAUGACGGAGGAGUGUUCAAAUAACUGAAGCGUCAAGAACCUAUAGAUUUUUAUUUGAAAAAAAAAAUGUCAUUUUUUUUCUUUCUAACAGAAAAUUUUGAUUCAUACACAA